UACGAAGGUCCCAAGCGUUGUUCGGAAUCACUGGGCGUAAAGGGCGCGUAGGCGGCCUGCUAAGUCGAACGUGAAAUCCCUGGGCUCAACCCAGGAACUGCGUCCGGUACUGGUUGGCUUGAAUCCGGGAGAGGGAUGUGGAAUUCCAGGUGUAGCGGUGAAAUGCGCAGAUAUCAGGAGGAACACCGGUGGCGAAGGCGGGUCUCUGGGCCGAUACUGACGCUGAGGAGCGAAAGCGUGGGGAGCGAACAGG
Molecule: ribosomal RNA, 253 nt
Filed under: uncultured bacterium
Lineage: Bacteria
Description: partial 16S ribosomal RNA
Rfam family: Bacterial small subunit ribosomal RNA
Source: RNAcentral